CUUUAAUUCACCCCCUCUAAUUAAUCCAGUCCACCCUUUAAUUAAUUCACCCCCUUUAAUUAAUUCACCCCCUCUAAUUAAUCCAGUCCACCCUUUAAUUCACCCCUUUAAUUAAUUCACCCCCUCUAAUUAAUCCAGCCCACCCUUUAAUUAAUUCACCACCCCUUUAAUUAAUUCACCCCCCUCUAAUUAAUCCAGCCCACCCUUUAAUUAAUUCACCACCCCUUUAAUUAAUUCACCCCCCUCUAAUUAAUCCAGCCCACCCUUUAAUUAAUUCACCACCCCUUUAAUUAAUUCACCCCCUCUAAUUAAUCCAGUCCACC
This is a non-coding RNA of Pelobates cultripes (western spadefoot toad), 323 nucleotides long. The record is from the annotation of a GenBank genome assembly. Lineage: Eukaryota; Metazoa; Chordata; Amphibia; Anura; Pelobatidae.